UACGGGGGGAGCAAGCGUUGUUCGGAAUUACUGGGCGUAAAGGGCGCGUAGGCGGCCUUCUAAGUCGAACGUGAAAUCCCCGGGCUCAACCCGGGAACUGCGUCCGAUACUGGAAGGCUUGAAUCCGGGAGAGGGAUGCGGAAUUCCAGGUGUAGCGGUGAAAUGCGUAGAUAUCUGGAGGAACACCGGUGGCGAAGGCGGCAUCCUGGACCGGUAUUGACGCUGAGGCGCGAAAGCGUGGGGAGCAAACAGG
RNAcentral lists this ribosomal RNA (253 nucleotides) under uncultured bacterium. RNAcentral's name for it is "partial 16S ribosomal RNA". It matches the Rfam family "Bacterial small subunit ribosomal RNA", at positions 524 to 776 of the family's 1533-position model. The record is from RNAcentral.